RNAcentral lists this ribosomal RNA (467 nucleotides) under uncultured bacterium. Its description in RNAcentral is "bacterial SSU rRNA". It matches the Rfam family "Bacterial small subunit ribosomal RNA", at positions 355 to 825 of the family's 1533-position model. The record is from RNAcentral.
UGAGGAAUAUUGGACAAUGGGCGCAAGCCUGAUCCAGCCAUGCCGCGUGCAGGAUGGCGGUCCUAUGGAUUGUAAACUGCUUUUGUACAGGAAGAAACAGUUCUACGUGUAGAACCUUGACGGUACUGUAAGAAUAAGGAUCGGCUAACUCCGUGCCAGCAGCCGCGGUAAUACGGAGGAUCCAAGCGUUAUCCGGAAUCAUUGGGUUUAAAGGGUCCGUAGGCGGUUAGAUAAGUCAGUGGUGAAAGCCCAUCGCUCAACGGUGGGACGGCCAUUGAUACUGUCUGACUUGAAUUAUUAGGAAGUAACUAGAAUAUGUAGUGUAGCGGUGAAAUGCUUAGAGAUUACAUGGAAUACCAAUUGCGAAGGCAGGUUACUACUAAUGGAUUGACGCUGAUGGACGAAAGCGUGGGUAGCGAACAGGAUUAGAUACCCCUGUAGUCCCUGAGCGGGCUGGCAAGGCGCAU